GAUGAAGAACGUAGCGAAAUGCGAUACGUAAUGUGAAUUGCAGAAUUCAGUGAAUCAUCGAAUCUUUGAACGCAUAUUGCGCUCUUUGGUAUUCCGGAGGGCAUGCCUGUUCGAGCGUCAUUAUCACCCCUCAAGCCCGGCUUGUUGUUGGAUGCAGCGCUUAUCCCGCUCCUCCCAAAGAUAAUGACGGCGUCUGCGACGACUCCUGUACACUGAGCUUUCGGGCACGUACACGGCUAGAAGUCCAGACCCGGUCGCCGUCCCCCCCGCGGGGACACCCAUUACCACAAGGUUGACCUCGGAUCAGGUAGGAAUACCCGCUGAACUUAAGCAUAUCAAUAAGCGGAGGA
Molecule: unclassified non-coding RNA, 350 nt
Filed under: soil metagenome
Description: partial contains 5.8S ribosomal RNA, internal transcribed spacer 2, and large subunit ribosomal RNA
Rfam family: 5.8S ribosomal RNA (bases 1-120)
Source: RNAcentral